UACGAAGGGGGCUAGCGUUGUUCGGAAUUACUGGGCGUAAAGCGCACGUAGGCGGAUUGUUAAGUUAGAGGUGAAAGCCCAGGGCUCAACCCUGGAAUUGCCUUUGAUACUGGCAGUCUUGAGAUCGGUAGAGGUGAGUGGAAUUCCUAGUGUAGAGGUGAAAUUCGUAGAUAUUAGGAAGAACACCAGUGGCGAAGGCGGCUCACUGGACCGAUUCUGACGCUGAGGCACGAAAGCGUGGGGAGCAAACAGG
Molecule: ribosomal RNA, 253 nt
Filed under: uncultured bacterium
Lineage: Bacteria
Description: partial 16S ribosomal RNA
Rfam family: Bacterial small subunit ribosomal RNA
Source: RNAcentral